Long non-coding RNA from Sinocyclocheilus rhinocerous, 989 nucleotides. RefSeq lists it as uncharacterized. NCBI's taxonomy places the organism in Eukaryota, Metazoa, Chordata, Actinopteri, Cypriniformes, Cyprinidae. The transcript is spliced from 2 exons. The record is from RefSeq and is a predicted model, not a curated record.
GAAAAAGAAACUUCCAUUACACCUUCAACAAAUAUGAAAAUAAAAGACAGAUUUGGUGUACUGAAAGAACAAAAGAUAUUCACCAAGUACAUCCACAGAGUUCCCUUUUUGUUUGUCCCUCCAUGACCAUUAUUCAGUGUGUUAAGAAUCCCUGAUUUUAAAGAACAGUGCAAAUAAUGUAAUAUAACAUCAUACAUCAAACUUUCAAAUCGAACAGUUUGCAAAUACACCAUUGCAUCUUAUAGUAUCAUGUAAAACAUGGUGCAUUUAGCUCAGUUCAAGCUUAAAAAUGGUAAAAUGACGAGUUCUCUUAUGGGAAAACAAGAUCGUCAGAUUCUGGGGCAAUUCCUUUUUUUUAGUAAGGUAAGUAAAGGUUACCAAAAAACGAAAGCACUAAGUGAUUAUAUUACAAUAUAUUCUAUAGCCUGAUAUUCUGAUUAAUUUAAUAAAUACUGAAACAUUUUUUUGAGUGACUAUAGCUUGCUAAUUGAAGAUCAACAGGCCAAUGCAUUGGCUUUUAAUUUAAGGCAGGCAAAAAGACACAGAUUCAAUAAAUAGAACCAACUAUUCUGAACAGCUAACAUGAUCAUCCAUCCAUCUACACUGUCCUAUCACACUAAGUGUAAACGAAGACAGAAUCUCAUUCAGAAUUAAACCUCUUGGUGCAAAACGUAAGCUUAAUGGAAUUAACACAUUUUCUCAUAAAACAAAAUGUAACAUGGUAGCAAUUGAUAUGUAUGUUGACCUAGACCCAUCUCAAAGAGUUCAAUAAGUGACACUGUCGGCCAGUAAUGAUGUAAAUCUCACUCCAGCCAGAAUGUUUCAAGUCCAGUAUAACCAGUAACUGUUUUUUGAAUGUGCAGGUAGUUCCAAUGUGUUCUAUAUCAGUAAUGCUGAAUGUGAUUUAUAUCUGAAGCUUCUGUUUGCUGGUGAGGUGUCCAGGAAGAGAUGCCCACUGCUAUUUUCUGUAUGCUUAUAGAAGGGAAAAA